GACAGAGGAUCUCCUUGCCUAAGACCUCGACAUGAAAUAAAUUCCUCGGUCAUAUCCCUAUUCCAUAAAACCCGCAUCCAAACUCUAGACACACAUCUCAUAAUUAACUGAAUACAACUACUCGGCAACCCAGCUUAAUGUAAAGUAUCUUAAAGAAAAGACCAACUAAUACAGUCAUAUGCCUUCUUUAAAUCAAUUUUAACAAUCGUGUAGCCUUUUCGACCUUUCUUAGCUCUCAUAGAAUGCACCGCCUCUAUAGUUAUAACAAUAUUAUCAACUAU
RNAcentral lists this unclassified non-coding RNA (281 nucleotides) under Hevea brasiliensis (rubber tree). Lineage: Eukaryota; Viridiplantae; Streptophyta; Magnoliopsida; Malpighiales; Euphorbiaceae. The record is from RNAcentral.